AAGGACGAACGCUGGCGGCGUGCCUAACACAUGCAAGUCGAACGGAGCGAAAGAAGCUUGCUUCUGGCGCUUAGUGGCGGACGGGUGAGUAACACGUGAGCAACCUGCCUUUCAGAGGGGAAUAAUGUCUGGAAACGGACACUAAUACCGCAUAACAUAUUGAAUCUGCAUGGAUUUAAUAUCAAAGGAGCAAUCCGCUGAAAGAUGGGCUCGCGUCUGAUUAGCCAGUUGGCGGGGUAACGGCCCACCAAAGCGACGAUCAGUAGCCGGACUGAGAGGUUGAACGGCCACAUUGGGACUGAGAUACGGCCCAGACUCCUACGGGAGGCAGCAGUGGGGAAUAUUGCACAAUGGGGGAAACCCUGAUGCAGCAACGCCGCGUGCAGGAAGACGGUCUUCGGAUUGUAAACCUUAAACAACAGGGACGAAGCAGUGACGGUACCUGUUAGGAAGCCACGGCUAACUACGUGCCAGCCGCUGC
RNAcentral lists this ribosomal RNA (481 nucleotides) under uncultured bacterium. RNAcentral's name for it is "bacterial SSU rRNA". It matches the Rfam family "Bacterial small subunit ribosomal RNA", at positions 26 to 518 of the family's 1533-position model. The record is from RNAcentral.